UUUCUGUCUGCUGCUAAUUAUUUUGUCUUCUUUUCUCAUUCAGGGGAUGAAGUAUUCCCUGAGCUACAUCUCUGCUGACUACGCUCAAGUAUAUUCCAGCAAGGGGGUGAAGAUGUCGGAAAGCGGCUCUGGGAUGGAAGAAGCCACUCAGACGGGUAGCAAAGGAUUGCGUCACACAGUAAGCUGUGGUUUUAAUAUUUCUUCAGGCUUCUCUUUCUCAGGCUUAUUUUUGUAAAAAAAAGUGUUAGAAACACAGAAGCCAAGGGAGGCACGCAAGGGGCAUUUUCUGUUAGAUGUCUCUGAUUCAGUUUAGAAAUCGGAUUUGAGCCAGUCUUGGACCAUCUAUCUCCCUCUCACCCAAGCUCUGAGAGGACACAAAGGCUAGACAGCAAUGGUUGGCCUGGGCUUCCCAUUUCUAGCUCAUUGUUUUCAGUAAGUAGCCUAUGGUGAUGCCCUGCUAGAGUUUUGCUGUUGUAUUAUGUGUGUUUGCUUUGUGGGAGAAAGAAGCAGCGAACUUUUGAGGAGAACUUACUCACCUUCCUCUCUAGAUGACAGUGGGCAUAAUGCUUCCUCCUCCAGGUACAUAAAAUGUCAUCAGAAGUCAAUUUUCUGGUUUUAGGGGCAAAUUUUUUACUUUGAGGCAAGAGGAGCAGGGAGUUUUGUGUACAUUGAUAAAUGCA
This 680-nucleotide long non-coding RNA is filed under the name Fukomys damarensis (Damara mole-rat). Its description in RNAcentral is "lncRNA (ENSFDAG00000023536.1)". Lineage: Eukaryota; Metazoa; Chordata; Mammalia; Rodentia; Bathyergidae. The record is from RNAcentral.